GGGGUUGUGGCUCAGUAGUAGAGUACUUGCCUAGCAUGUGAGAGGCACUGGGUUCAAUUCUCAACACCA
This 69-nucleotide transfer RNA is filed under the name Marmota marmota marmota (Alpine marmot). It matches the Rfam family "tRNA". Rfam says of the family: Transfer RNA (tRNA) molecules are approximately 80 nucleotides in length. Their secondary structure includes four short double-helical elements and three loops (D, anti-codon, and T loops). Lineage: Eukaryota; Metazoa; Chordata; Mammalia; Rodentia; Sciuridae. The record is from Rfam by way of RNAcentral. RNAcentral also lists the same sequence under 1 other name.